RNAcentral lists this ribosomal RNA (636 nucleotides) under Rotylenchulus reniformis. Its description in RNAcentral is "SSU rRNA". It matches the Rfam family "Eukaryotic small subunit ribosomal RNA", at positions 1003 to 1664 of the family's 1831-position model. The record is from RNAcentral. Lineage: Eukaryota; Metazoa; Nematoda; Chromadorea; Rhabditida; Hoplolaimidae.
GGCGAUCAGAUACCGCCCUAGUUCUGACCGUAAACGAUGCCAACUAGCGAUCCGCCAGUCGACUCAUCGCUCUGGUGGGGAGCUUCCCGGAAACGAAAGUCUUCCGGUUCCGGGGGAAGUAUGGUUGCAAAGCUGAAACUUAAAGGAAUUGACGGAAGGGCACCACCAGGAGUGGAGCCUGCGGCUUAAUUUGACUCAACACGGGGAAACUCACCCGGCCCGGACACCGUAAGGAUUGACAGAUUGAUAGCUUUUUCAUGAUUCGGUGGAUGGUGGUGCAUGGCCGUUCUUAGUUCGUGGAGCGAUUUGUCUGGUUUAUUCCGAUAACGAGCGAGACUCUGGCCUACUAAAUAGUUGACGCAUUGCCACUGUGCGCACAACUUCUUAGAGGGAUUUUCGGUGUUUUCAACCGCACGAAAUUGAGCAAUAACAGGUUUGUGAUGCCCUUAGAUGUCCGGGGCUGCACGCGCGCUACACUGGCAAACGCAACGUGCCUGUCCUGCCCCGAAAGGAGCGGGUAAACCCCUGAAAUUUUGCCGUGAUUGGGAUCGGACAUUGCAACUAUUGUCCGUGAACGAGGAAUUCCUUGUAGGGGCGAGUCAUCAACUCGUCCCGAAUACGUCCCUGCCCUUUGUA